AUGAACGCUGGCGGCGUGCCUAACACAUGCAAGUCGAGCGAUCUUCUUCGGAAGAGAGCGGCGGACGGGUGAGUAACGCGUGGGUAACCUGCCCUGUACACACGGAUAACAUACCGAAAGGUAUGCUAAUACGGGAUAACAUAAGAAAGUCGCAUGGCUUUCUUAUCAAAGCUUUUGCGGUACAGGAUGGACCCGCGUCUGAUUAGCUAGUUGGUAAGGUAACGGCUUACCAAGGCGACGAUCAGUAGCCGACCUGAGAGGGUGAUCGGCCACAUUGGAACUGAGACACGGUCCAAACUCCUACGGGAGGCAGCAGUGGGGAAUAUUGCACAAUGGGCGAAAGCCUGAUGCAGCAACGCCGCGUGAGCGAUGAAGGCCUUCGGGUCGUAAAGCUCUGUCCUCAAGGAAGAUAAUGACGGUACUUGAGGAGGAAGCCCCGGCUAACUACGUGCCAGCAGCCGCGGUAAUACGUAGGGGGCUAGCGUUAUCCGGAAUUACUGGGCGUAAAGGGUGCGUAGGCGGUCUUUCAAGUCAGAAGUGAAAGGCUACGGCUCAACCGUAGUAAGCUUUUGAAACUGUAAGACUUGAGUGCAGGAGAGGAGAGUGGAAUUCCUAGUGUAGCGGUGAAAUGCGUAGAUAUUAGGAGGAACACCAGUUGCGAAGGCGGCUCUCUGGACUGUAACUGACGCUGAGGCACGAAAGCGUGGGGAGCAAACAGG
This 719-nucleotide ribosomal RNA is filed under the name uncultured Clostridium sp. RNAcentral's name for it is "bacterial SSU rRNA". It matches the Rfam family "Bacterial small subunit ribosomal RNA", at positions 29 to 776 of the family's 1533-position model. The record is from RNAcentral. Lineage: Bacteria; Bacillati; Bacillota; Clostridia; Eubacteriales; Clostridiaceae.